Molecule: RNA transcript, 2804 nt
Organism: Salvia miltiorrhiza (redroot sage)
Lineage: Eukaryota; Viridiplantae; Streptophyta; Magnoliopsida; Lamiales; Lamiaceae
Exons: 5
Source: RefSeq, a predicted model, not a curated record
CUCAGUUAUGGUAUUUGGAUGAUAUUAGAGAAUUAUUAUCAGAGUCGAACUUGAGUCUUAUGCGGGAGUCAUGCUUUGGCCAUUUGUUGGAAAUUUGUGAAUUUGAAUUCCAAGGAGAAUUGUUUAAAUUGUUGUGUAGGAGGUUGCACUCGAAUAGCCUGGAUAGAACAACACUGAUGUUUAAGUUUGGAGGCCGUACAGUUGAAUUUGGUCGUGGGGACUUCUGUCUGAUGACUGGAUUGAAAUUUAGCGGUUGUUUGGUACUACCGAAUCAGUCCCAAUUCCAUUUUGAUGUCUUUGCAUCUCGGCGUAACUUGUUAUUUUAUGAUAUUGAACAACAAUUUAGGAAGGAAUGUGCUGAAAGUGGAGGGAACUCAGCUAAUAGUUUGAAGUUAGCAUACUUAUUACUUAUUUUUGGAUUGUUUGGGUUGAUUAAUUAUGAUAGUCCGAGACUGGAAAUGGGGUAUCUGCACUUGAUCGACGAUGUUAAGAAGUUUAAUGAGUAUCCUUGGGGCCAUGUUGCUUAUGAGUAUCUAGUUCAAUGGACACAUCGACUCAAAAGAGAAUUAUCAACUGCUGCACAUGAAAGUCCGAAUGAAAGUCUGAAUCGUCCAUUUAUAGCCUGUGGAUUUGUGCAUGCUUUACAAUGUUGGUGUUAUGAAGUGAAUCCGGCACUUGGGACAAUGUGUGCAUCUUUGAAUGUUGAUCAUCUAACUUCAUUUCCUCGGUUACGAAGAUGGGCUGCUACGUCAGAUCUGAAGUCUAUUGGUGAGGGCUUGUCGAAGUGUUUUUUGCCGGAUCAUGGAUGUGACCCUGUGCGUAUAUCAUUGUCUUCGGGAGAGAGUACGAAAUUGGUGAACCUUGGGAUAUCUUCCCCGAUGCAUGUUGCCUCUCGUUCUCCCGUGAAAAAAUUUGCGAAGAAUGUUGGUCGUAAGCUUAAUUUCGAUAGCGUGGAGCGCGAAGGAUGCGACUCCAAGAAGCAAACACGUAAGCGGAAGACCUCGAGUAUUGGUACCUCCCCUUUGAGCAAUAGCACUGGUAAGUCUAAGGAAGUUGGUGAGUGUUCGAUUAGUGGCGGCAAGGCCACAGCGAAAGUUGCCCCGAAGUUGAGUGUUAAGAGGAAAGCGGGGCAUUAUGUAAAGAAUGGAACACCGACUAGCGAAAGUAAUACCAACGUUAAUGUUAUGAUGCAGGAUAAUGCUACCAUGGGGGGACAUGCCGUCAAUUACGUGAGUAAUUUCAUGUAUCACGUUGGGAAGUUUAUUUGUACAUAUAAUAAUUUAGAAACUUAUUAUAAAUUUAUGUUUUUAUGCCUUUAAGAUGUAAUGCAAUUGUUCCUUAGCUUGAAAGGGCAGAUUAAGUGCCUUCAAGAUUUGGUGGACACGAAGUUCAAAAUGAUUGAAGCCUAUGUAGAGAAGUACACAUCUGGUGCGUCUUGUUCGUGUGGGUCGAAACUUGAUUGUCUUGAUAAAGGGCAAAAAGGCAAAUAUUUGGGGAAUGAAUAUGGUGUCGCUGAUAGGUUGAGCAAUCAUGAAUCACCUGUAAACUUUUCACAUGUUGAUACUGGCGUUCAGUUCGGUGGAGAUAAAAACUUAUAUGAAAUUAUUGAAGAUGAAGACUAUGUAGGCACGGAUAUAGUAUCACGAAAAACCGAGGCAAUGACACUUGAUAGAAGCAAUGUCUCUGAGGCUGUUACUGGAGACAAUAAUGGCGAUUGCACGGCUGGGCAGUUUGUAUAUGAUCCUAAUGAAUUCAACACGGAGUUUUCUCAAUUGAAGCCGUAUUUGGAUUGGACUUGCAGCCCUGAUAAUAUCAGGAGUCAGAAUCAGGUAAUCCUCCCAACGGAUAUUCAGCGAUAUGCAGAUUUGAGUUGGUUCAAUAUCUUGUGGCGGCCUAAUGGAUGGCUCGAUAACUCGCACAUUGAUGCUCUCAUCAAUCUCCUAAUUAUCCGAUACGAUAAGGAGGUUAAGUCUCACAAACCACGUACUUGGGCGUGUUUGGAGAUAUGUUGUUGGCAAGCACUGACUAAGACGAACAUGGAUGAUAUUAUCCCAGUUGUGAUGCCAUAUGUCUGCGGCGUUCGCCCGGUAAGUGGGGGAUUGAAUUGGUUAAAUGCUACUCAUGUGUUUGGUGUUGGCAACAUAAACAAUUGCCAUUGGGUCUUUUUUGAUAUUUCAUUAGCUGACCAUGUAAUUACAGUGUAUAAUUCGGUACAACAGUCUUGGGAAUGUGUGUAUGCACAUUUUCAAAAUGUCCGAAAGAACUUAGCCAUUUUAUGUAGAUUGGGAGGUUUAUGUUCGAGAAAUCAUGCUGGGGAGAGUUGGUAUGUUGUUGAAUAUCCUAGACCACCAAGGCAAUUGAAUCAAAGUGAUUGCGGUAUAAUGGCGAUGAAAUAUAUGGAAUGUCGUGCCUUUGAUGUUCCUGUUUCGAAAAUUAUCCCUCAUAGAUGUGCAAAGUUUCGCCGGCGAUAUUGUGCGAAGUUAUUUGAACAUUCGGAGGAGCUUAAGCGCACAUUGAAGACGUGAUUUUUGUGUUGAGCAUUUUGUCGCAUUUGAUACACCCUCGUAUUGUUCCUCACUAUUUAUUUUGUAUGGUGAUGUUAUCGCUAAUUAAUAUGUAGAGGUGUGCUAAAGACCCUAGUGCUUGCUGGUGUAUCAAACUCCUUUAACAUGAAUUUCUGGUUAAUUUAACUCGUAAGCUUCGAAUGGAAAUUAGGCAUGCUUGAUAGUUUUUUUAAUUAAUGUAAUUUGUAACCUUUUACCGGGAUGUUGACUUCAUUUCUUGCUAUAUGCUUGUUGAGUAUG